This 95-nucleotide small RNA is filed under the name Xanthomonas sp. F10. RNAcentral describes it as "sRNA sX7". It matches the Rfam family "Xanthomonas sRNA sX7". The record is from RNAcentral. Lineage: Bacteria; Pseudomonadati; Pseudomonadota; Gammaproteobacteria; Lysobacterales; Lysobacteraceae.
CGGUUUUCUGCCGGGGGAGCGGUGGAGUCAGUGCCGCUCGUCUCCCUCGGCAGUCUUGAGCAAGCCAGGAGGGCGCGCGCCAGGGACGGCGCAUU